UACUGCAGCCGCCAAUUCAGAUGUUAACGAACGUUGUUGGAAACGACACGGUCGGUGGAAAAGCGACACUGCUAAAGAUGGUUACGUGGCCGAUUCACUUGAUCAUCGGCUUCAGGUUACGAAAAAACUUGGUUUGUGAAUGUUUAGGGUUUGAAUUUUUUAUUAUGAUUUAUGUUUUGAUUAGUAUCUUACAUUAUAUUCAUACCGCAUUUCUCACGCCCGUUCUUUGUUUUUCUAGUCUGUCUGCACGGCAAAAUGCAUAUUUUAGUUGAGUAUAAUUUAGUGGCCAAAAUUAUUGUGUAGUUAGG
Molecule: long non-coding RNA, 308 nt
Filed under: Mytilus galloprovincialis (Mediterranean mussel)
Lineage: Eukaryota; Metazoa; Mollusca; Bivalvia; Mytilida; Mytilidae
Source: RNAcentral